CAGCUAGUUGGUGAGGUAAUGGCUCACCAAGGCUACGAUGCAUAGGGGAUCUGAGAGGAUUAUCCCCCACACUGGUACUGAGACACGGACCAGACUCCUACGGGAGGCAGCAGUAAGGAAUAUUGGACAAUGGUGGAAACACUGAUCCAGCCAUGCCGCGUGAAGGAUGAAGGCGCUAUGCGUCGUAAACUUCUUUUGAACGGGAGAAACCCCAGAUACGUGUAUCUGGCUGAUAGUACCGUUAGAAUAAGGGUCGGCUAACUUCGUGCCAGCAGCCGCGGUAAUACGAAGGACCCGAGCGUUAUCCGGAUUCAUUGGGUUUAAAGGGUGCGUAGGCGGAAUGAUAAGUCAGUGGUGAAAUCCUGCAGCUCAACUGCAGAACUGCCAUUGAUACUGUCGUUCUUGAAUGCAACUGAUGUGGGCGGAAUGUGCCAUGUAGUGGUGAAAUACUUAGAUAUGGCACAGAACACCGAUUGCGAAGGC
RNAcentral lists this ribosomal RNA (483 nucleotides) under uncultured Bacteroidota bacterium. Its description in RNAcentral is "SSU rRNA". It matches the Rfam family "Bacterial small subunit ribosomal RNA", at positions 242 to 722 of the family's 1533-position model. The record is from RNAcentral. Lineage: Bacteria; Pseudomonadati; Bacteroidota.